RNAcentral lists this ribosomal RNA (323 nucleotides) under uncultured eukaryote. RNAcentral describes it as "partial 18S ribosomal RNA". It matches the Rfam family "Eukaryotic small subunit ribosomal RNA", at positions 1470 to 1796 of the family's 1831-position model. The record is from RNAcentral.
CCCCUAGAUGUUCUGGGCCGCACGCGCGCUACACUGAACAGUUCAACAAGUCUUAACCUUGGCCGAUAGGUCUGGGUAAUCUUUGAACGCUGUUCGUGAUAGGGAUAGACUAUUGCAAUUAUUGGUCUUCAACGAGGAAUUCCUAGUAGACGUAGUUCAUCAGACUGCAUCGAUUACGUCCCUGCCCUUUGUACACACCGCCCGUCGCUCCUACCGAUUGAAUGCUCAGGUGAGCCAUUCGGACCUUCAUCAUGCCGGUUUCCGGUUUUGAUGAGGGAAAGUCUUGCGAACCUUAUCAUUUAGAGGAAGGAGAAGUCGUAACA